GACGAACGCUGGCGGCGUGCUUAACACAUGCAAGUCGAACGGAAAGGCCCUGCUUUUGUGGGGUGCUCGAGUGGCGAACGGGUGAGUAACACGUGAGUAACCUGCCCUUGACUUUGGGAUAACUUCAGGAAACUGGGGCUAAUACCGGAUAGGAGCUCCUGCUGCAUGGUGGGGGUUGGAAAGUUUCGGCGGUUGGGGAUGGACGCGCGGCUUAUCAGCUUGUUGGUGGGGUAGUGGCUUACCAAGGCUUUGACGGGUAGCCGGCCUGAGAGGGUGACCGGCCACAUUGGGACUGAGAUACGGCCCAGACUCCUACGGGAGGCAGCAGGGGGGAAUAUUGCACAAUGGGCGGAAGCCUGAUGCAGCAACGCCGCGUGCGGGAUGACGGCCUUCGGGUUGUGAACCGCUUUCGCCUGUGACGAAGCGUGAGUGACGGUAAUGGGUAAAGAAGCACCGGCUAACUACGUG
This 468-nucleotide ribosomal RNA is filed under the name uncultured bacterium. RNAcentral's name for it is "partial 16S ribosomal RNA". It matches the Rfam family "Bacterial small subunit ribosomal RNA", at positions 28 to 507 of the family's 1533-position model. The record is from RNAcentral.